CCCACAUUCCGAGAAUGUUGUAAGUGCAAGGAACAAAUGGGGAAGAAACUCAAGCCACCUUCAUUUUAAAGGAAAAGUACGGAGUGAGAGACAGGACAUUCUUCUCUGGAGAACAGAGAAUUCUGCUCCCCCAAGGAGAGCGCUAUUAAGACAGCCCAUUUUCAGAAACACCUCUUCUACUUCAAGGAGGACAAUACUUAAGAGUGGAGAAGACCCAUUGUUCACUAAGGCUCUCCGCAAUACUUGGAGUUUGCCCAGUUUCUAGGCUGCCUCUGAGAUAUCUGUGGACCAAAGGAAAGGGACCUUCACCAGUGUAGCCAUCACUGAGUUCAAAUGAAAGUUUUGGAUCAGGAAAUACUGUUAUCAUCCUCAUUCUCCUGCAUGGAAAAACUUUGGAAUUCACUAAAUCCAAUGUCAACAAAUUACUGGAGCAGGUUGCUUCUGUCAGUGACAAAACCACUCCAAGGCAAUGCAGACAAAAGGGAUAUGAAAGGACUUUGUAAAAUGCGUUGCUAUUAGUUGAGAUGCCAGUUAGUUGCAUUUUAAUCUCAUUUCCUCUAAAACACAA
Talpa occidentalis (Iberian mole) is the source of this 568-nucleotide long non-coding RNA. RefSeq lists it as uncharacterized. The record is from RefSeq and is a predicted model, not a curated record. The transcript is spliced from 3 exons. NCBI's taxonomy places the organism in Eukaryota, Metazoa, Chordata, Mammalia, Eulipotyphla, Talpidae.